RNAcentral lists this ribosomal RNA (116 nucleotides) under Periophthalmus magnuspinnatus. Lineage: Eukaryota; Metazoa; Chordata; Actinopteri; Gobiiformes; Gobiidae. The record is from RNAcentral.
CAUUUUGGUCACAUUUUCUUGUCAAAGCUUGAGCUUGUCUGAUCUCUGAAGCUAAGCAGUGCUGGGCCUGGUAAGUACUUGGAUUGGAUACCAUCCAAUACCAGGUGUCUGAGUGG